GCCCCCGUAGCUCAAUUGGAUAGAGCAGCGGAUUUCUACUCCGCAGGUUGCAGGUUCGAGUCCUGCCGGGGGUGCCA
Molecule: transfer RNA, 77 nt
Filed under: Candidatus Anoxymicrobium japonicum
Lineage: Bacteria; Bacillati; Actinomycetota; Candidatus Geothermincolia; Candidatus Geothermincolales; Candidatus Anoxymicrobiaceae
Description: Actinobacteria bacterium HGW-Actinobacteria-3 tRNA-Arg
Rfam family: tRNA
About the family: Transfer RNA (tRNA) molecules are approximately 80 nucleotides in length. Their secondary structure includes four short double-helical elements and three loops (D, anti-codon, and T loops).
Source: RNAcentral